CAUGCAGUCGACGCGAAGGGGCUUCGGCCCUGAGUAGAGUGGCGAACGGGUGAGUAACACGUGGGUGAUCUACCUUCGAGUGGGGGAUAACGUUCCGAAAGGAACGCUAAUACCGCAUGACGUUCUGGGUUUAAAGACCUGGAAACCAAAGCCGGGGACCGCAAGGCCUGGCGCUUGAAGAGGAGCCCGCGUCCGAUUAGCUAGUUGGCGGGGUAAUGGCCCACCAAGGCGACGAUCGGUAGCCGGCCUGAGAGGGCGGACGGCCACACUGGAACUGAGACACGGUCCAGACUCCUACGGGAGGCAGCAGUGGGGAAUUGUUCACAAUGGGCGCAAGCCUGAUGACGCAACGCCGCGUGGGGGAUGAAGGUCUUCGGAUUGUAAACCCCUGUCGAACGGGACGAAUGGCCUCUGGGCUAAUCACCAGAGGAAUGACGGUACCGUUAAAGGAAGCCACGGCUAACUCUGUGCCAGCAGCCGCGGUAAUACAGAGGUGGCAAGCGUUGUUCGGAAUUACUGGGCGUAAAGGGCGCGUAGGCGGCCAUCUAAGUCAGACGUGAAAUCCCCCGGCUUAACCUGGGAACUGCGUCUGAUACUGGACGGCUUGAGUAUGGGAGAGGGAUGUAGAAUUCCAGGUGUAGCGGUGAAAUGCGUAGAUAUCUGGAGGAAUACCGGUGGCGAAGGCGGCAUCCUGGACCAUUACUGACGCUGAGGCGCGAAAGCUAGGGGAGCAAACGGGAUUAGAUACCCCGGUAGUCCUAGCCCUAAACGAUGAAUACUU
Molecule: ribosomal RNA, 781 nt
Filed under: uncultured Acidobacteriota bacterium
Lineage: Bacteria; Pseudomonadati; Acidobacteriota
Description: bacterial SSU rRNA
Rfam family: Bacterial small subunit ribosomal RNA
Source: RNAcentral